AUACAGCUGACGAGUCCCAAAUAGGAGGAAAUGCGCUUUUUCCUGGAU
Non-coding RNA from Trichobilharzia regenti, 48 nucleotides. The record is from Rfam. Lineage: Eukaryota; Metazoa; Platyhelminthes; Trematoda; Strigeidida; Schistosomatidae.